This 440-nucleotide ribosomal RNA is filed under the name uncultured Anaerolineae bacterium. Its description in RNAcentral is "partial 16S ribosomal RNA". It matches the Rfam family "Bacterial small subunit ribosomal RNA", at positions 338 to 794 of the family's 1533-position model. Lineage: Bacteria; Bacillati; Chloroflexota; Anaerolineae. The record is from RNAcentral.
CCUACGGGAGGCAGCAGUAAGGAAUCUUGCGCAAUGGGCGAAAGCCUGACGCAGCGACGCCGCGUGGGCGAUGAAGGCCUUCGGGUUGUAAAGCCCUUUUCUGGGGGACGAGGAAGGACGGUACCCCAGGAAUAAGUCACGGCUAACUACGUGCCAGCAGCCGCGGUAAAACGUAGGAGGCAAGCGUUAUCCGGAUUCACUGGGCGUAAAGCGCGCGCAGGUGGCCUGUCAAGUCGGACGUGAAAUCUCCCGGCUCAACUGGGAGGGGCCGUUCGAUACUGGCGGGCUUGAGGGCAGAAGGGGAAGGCGGAAUUCCCGGUGUAGUGGUGGAAUGCGUAGAUAUCGGGAGGAACACCCGUGGCGUAGGCGGCGUCCUGGCCGACACCUGACGCUGAAGCGCGAAAGCGUGGGGAGCGAACGGGAUUAGAUACCCCAGUAGU